AGAGUUUGAUCCUGGCUCAGAUUGAACGCUGGCGGCAGGCCUAACACAUGCAAGUCGAACGGUAACAGGAAGCAGCUUGCUGCUUUGCUGACGAGUGGCGGACGGGUGAGUAAUGUCUGGGAAACUGCCUGAUGGAGGGGGAUAACUACUGGAAACGGUAGCUAAUACCGCAUAACGUCGCAAGACCAAAGAGGGGGACCUUAGGGCCUCUUGCCAUCGGAUGUGCCCAGAUGGGAUUAGCUAGUAGGUGGGGUAACGGCUCACCUAGGCGACGAUCCCUAGCUGGUCUGAGAGGAUGACCAGCCACACUGGAACUGAGACACGGUCCAGACUCCUACGGGAGGCAGCAGUGGGGAAUAUUGCACAAUGGGCGCAAGCCUGAU
This 383-nucleotide ribosomal RNA is filed under the name uncultured Escherichia sp. Its description in RNAcentral is "bacterial SSU rRNA". It matches the Rfam family "Bacterial small subunit ribosomal RNA", at positions 8 to 387 of the family's 1533-position model. Lineage: Bacteria; Pseudomonadati; Pseudomonadota; Gammaproteobacteria; Enterobacterales; Enterobacteriaceae. The record is from RNAcentral.